GUUACAACUCUGAGCGGUGGAUCACUCGGCUCGUGUGUCGAUGAAGAGCGCAGCCAACUGUGUGAAUUAAUGUGAACUGCAUACUGCUUUGAACAUCGACAUCUUGAACGCACAUUGCGGCCAUGGGUUAGCCCAUGGCCACGCCUGUCCGAGGGUCGGCUU
RNAcentral lists this ribosomal RNA (162 nucleotides) under Haematoloechus abbreviatus. RNAcentral describes it as "5.8S ribosomal RNA". It matches the Rfam family "5.8S ribosomal RNA". Rfam says of the family: 5.8S ribosomal RNA (5.8S rRNA) is a component of the large subunit of the eukaryotic ribosome. It is transcribed by RNA polymerase I as part of the 45S precursor that also contains 18S and 28S rRNA. Functionally, it is thought that 5.8S rRNA may be involved in ribosome translocation. Lineage: Eukaryota; Metazoa; Platyhelminthes; Trematoda; Plagiorchiida; Haematoloechidae. The record is from RNAcentral.